GACGAACGCUGGCGGUGUGCUUAACACAUGCAAGUCGAACGGCAACGCACUACUAUCGUGGGCUGACGGGGGGCGAAACGGGUACGUAACAGGUAAACAACCUGAUCUAGAUUUUGGGAUAACUUAAGGUAGCGAGGCUUACUCUCAUAUCGCAGACCACCUAGCAUGGAAGGGGUGGGAACGUCUGAGCGGUCGGGGAUGGACUGGCGGCUUAUCGGCUUGCUGGUGGGGGAGGGGCAUACCAAGGAAUUGACCGAUCGCCGGCCUGUGAGGGAGACCGGCCACAUUGGUACUGCGGUACGGCGCAGACUCCUACGGUAGGCAGUAGUGGGGAAUAUUGCACAAUGGUCGGAAGCGUGAUGCAGCAGCGCCGCGUGCGGGAUGACGUCCUUCUGGUUAUAAACCGCUUUCGCCUGUGACGAAGCGGGAGUGACGGUAAUGGGUAAAGAAGCACCGGCUAACUACGUG
This 468-nucleotide ribosomal RNA is filed under the name uncultured bacterium. RNAcentral describes it as "partial 16S ribosomal RNA". It matches the Rfam family "Bacterial small subunit ribosomal RNA", at positions 28 to 507 of the family's 1533-position model. The record is from RNAcentral.